GACGAACGCUGGCGGCGUGCUUAACACAUGCAAGUCGAACGGAAAGGCCCUGCUUUUGUGGGGUGCUCGAGUGGCGAACGGGUGAGUAACACGUGAGUAACCUGCCCUUGACUUUGGGAUAACUUCAGGAAACUGGGGCUAAUACCGGAUAGGAGCUCCUGCUGCAUGGUGGGGGUUGGAAAGUUUCGGCGGUUGGGGAUGGACUCGCGGCUUAUCAGCUUGUUGGUGGGGUAGUGGCUUACCAAGGCUUUGACGGGUAGCCGGCCUGAGAGGGUGACCGGCCACAUUGGGACUGAGAUACGGCCCAGACUCCUACGGGAGGCAGCAGUGGGGAAUAUUGCACAAUGGGCGGAAGCCUGAUGCAGCAACGCCGCGUGCGGGAUGACGGCCUUCGGGUUGUAAACCGCUUUCGCCUGUGACGAAGCGUGAGUGACGGUAAUGGGUAAAGAAGCACCGGCUAACUACGUGCCAGCAGCCGCGGUGAUACGUAGGGUGCGAGCGUUGUCCGGAUUUAUUGGGCGUAAAGGGCUCGUAGGUGGUCGAUCGCGUCGGAAGUGUAAUCUUGGGGCUUAACCCUGAGCGUGCUUUCGAUACGGGUUGACUUGAGGAAGGUAGGGGAGAAUGGAAUUCCUGGUGGAGCGGUGGAAUGCGCAGAUAUCAGGAGGAACACCAGUGGCGAAGGCGGUUCUCUGGGCCUUUCCUGACGCUGAGGAGCGAAAGCGUGGGGAGCGAACAGGCUUAGAUACCCUGGUAGUCCACGCUGUAAACGGUGGGUACUAGGUGUGGGGUCCAUUCCACGGGUUCCGUGCCGUAGCUAACGCUUUAAGUACCCCGCCUGGGGAGUACGGCCGCAAGGCUAAAACUCAAAGGAAUUGACGGGGCCCCGCACAAGCGGCGGAGCAUGCGGAUUAAUUCGAUGCAACGCGUAGAACCUUACCUGGGUUUGACAUGGAUCGGGAGUGCUCAGAGAUGGGUGUGCCUCUUUUGGGGUCGGUUCACAGGUGGUGCAUGGCUGUCGUCAGCUCGUGUCGUGAGAUGUUGGGUUAAGUCCCGCAACGAGCGCAACCCUUGUUCACUGUUGCCAGCACGUUAUGGUGGGGACUCAGUGGAGACCGCCGGGGUCAACUCGGAGGAAGGUGGGGAUGACGUCAAGUCACCAUGCCCCUUAUGUCCAGGGCUUCACGCAUGCUACAAUGGCUGGUACAGAGAGUGGCGAGCCUGUGAGGGUGAGCGAAUCUCGGAAAGCCGGUCUCAGUUCGGAUUGGGGUCUGCAACUCGACCUCAUGAAGUCGGAGUCGCUAGUAAUCGCAGAUCAGCAACGCUGCGGUGAAUACGUUCCCGGG
Molecule: ribosomal RNA, 1343 nt
Filed under: uncultured bacterium
Lineage: Bacteria
Description: 16S ribosomal RNA
Rfam family: Bacterial small subunit ribosomal RNA
Source: RNAcentral